CAAAGGGCAAGAGGGUAGAGACAACAAUGCAUCACGUGGAGCAGUCCAAAUGUCACUAAGAGUGUCCAUGAUUGAGCCUUUGAAUGAAGAGAUACAACUGUCCAGUGUUUUUGGCAGCUCGUUCCAGUCGCUAGCUGCAGAGAGCUGAAAAGAGGAGCAACGCAGGGAUGUGUGUGCUUUGGGGACCAGAGGGCUGCAGUAGGUAUCUCAGAUAGGUGGGAGUUAGGCCUAAGAGGGUACAUGCUUUGUCGUCUUCUUUGACGGACUGUGUGGUUUUACUCCGUUUCAUUACAUUAGCUGUAGGCUACCACAUGAAUGCAUAAUAUAUAAACAACUUGCACGUCACAUUUCAAAACAAGUACUUGCAUGGUGGCUUCAAUGACAGGUUUAGAUACUCUGCGGUGCCUUGUUAGGUCGAGAGCUCAACUACGAUAUCCACAAUCCCUUUCGCAUCAUACGCGGCAGGUUUUUCUCGGAUCGGAGUACGCUACAAUUCAAAACGAGACGUCUCUGUUUAUGUUCAACACACCUCCAACAUAUUAUUCUGCUGUCCGCACGGAGAGCGAAGCAUUAAAAAUAAAAAUAAACAUUUUGGGGGAAUGUAACUUUGUACAGGAAGAAAGCUAACACGAAAGCGUCGUAUGAUUGGCCAUUCUGACUGUUUUUUUUUGUAUCAAACAUUGAGAUUUGUUGACAAAUUGCCUUUGUUAGCUGGUAACUCAACCAACUUGGUCUGAAGCGGCGGGUGGUAGAUGGUUGUCCCCCGCUCACUGAGCGGUGUGUCUCGGCAGGAGGAGCGCAUCGACUCCGCUGGCCAACAGGCAAGGUCCUUACUUGCUCCCCCUUCCACUUGCCUCUUCCAGUUCUGCGGUAAUGCUGCAAUUAGUUGGGUUGCAGCGGCGACAACCAACAGGCACAUGCAGGAUGAGGAGGCGGAGCUGAAGCUCAGCUGACCCCACCCAUUUAGUGUGACCUCCCUCCUACCCUCACCCAUCCAGCCAGCCGGGCCCAUGUUCUCUCCAGAGCAGGAAAAUAUCUCCCCCUCCUCCACCUCCUCCUCCAAAGUGCCGGUGAAAUAUGGAGAGCUCAUGGUGCUGGGGUAA
Oncorhynchus tshawytscha (Chinook salmon) is the source of this 1103-nucleotide long non-coding RNA. NCBI's taxonomy places the organism in Eukaryota, Metazoa, Chordata, Actinopteri, Salmoniformes, Salmonidae. The record is from Ensembl.